Unclassified non-coding RNA from Chelonoidis abingdonii (Abingdon island giant tortoise), 179 nucleotides. Lineage: Eukaryota; Metazoa; Chordata; Testudines; Testudinidae. The record is from Ensembl.
UUUUCUUUUGGAGACAGAAGUCCUCUAUUUAUCCACAGAAUUGGUACAGACAUGAGAUGCAGCAGCACAACUUAUCCCACACUUCCUUGCCAAGAUACCUCAAGUCAGCUAUGAUCUGCAGAGACCAUCUGGAGAUGAGAGCUCAGUAUUCAAGACCAUUUGAUUAAUCCUUGGCCUGU